Hevea brasiliensis (rubber tree) is the source of this 603-nucleotide long non-coding RNA. RefSeq lists it as uncharacterized. The record is from RefSeq and is a predicted model, not a curated record. The transcript is spliced from 2 exons. NCBI's taxonomy places the organism in Eukaryota, Viridiplantae, Streptophyta, Magnoliopsida, Malpighiales, Euphorbiaceae.
AGGUCAAACGGGUGUAUCAAUUGGCAAUUCUGCGGGUCCUAUAGCACGGAGAUCAACCCCGAUGCCAGUUUGUACACAUUGUGGGAAGAACCACAGAGGAAAGUGUAGAUUGCUAACGGGUGGAUGUUUCAGAUGUGGGUCCACAGAGCAUUUUUUGAGAGAUUGCCCACGGAGGAGUGCUCCCACAGCUCGACCAUAGACUCAGAGGUCUGCCCCCACAGUACAGAGGGGUAGAAGACCAAUGAGACCAGAGAUAGCUGGUACAUCACAGAGAGCUUCUGAGACUAUAGAACAACCCGAGGUUGAAGUAGCACCCUGUGUGUACACUAUGGCUCGAGAGGAGCCAGACCUAGUAGACGUUGUUAGAGGUACUGAAGAUCAGCAGCCGCCACAGUAGUAUUCGAACAGAGUUUCGACCAGAUCUGCCACCUAUCAGAGUCACCUCACCAGUCUUUUGUAUUUUGGUAGGGCCCAUGUGUAGACUAGUAUUUUGGUUCAUUAUGUCUAGUCAUGAUGUAAUUACUAGUUUAUGAUGUAUUUUAUUUUGGACUUGAAAUGAAAACUUAUAAUUUAUUAUCUAUGAAUUUCCAUAUGAAUGCAAUA